GACUUCAGGUAAUCCACCCUCCUCAGCCUCCCAAAGUGCUGGGAUUAUAGGCGUGAGCCACCGUGCCCAGCUGGUAGUUGGUAUUUUUUGCAAUCAAAAUGGUCUUGUAAUCAAAUUAAGUGCUGGGAAAGCAAGAUAUAAGAUGAGAUUUAUUUGUUCUCCAUCAUCGAAUAAGAUUUAAAAUGUGUUAAAUGUUUCUCUUAGGAGCAACCUGAGGAGGUGCUACCAUGUCUUCAAGAUGACUUGGGAAUAUUUUCUAGAAAGAAAAAACUCCUGUCCAUAUCUCUGACAACUGAGGAAGAGGCCUUGCCAGUUUCAUCCAGAUUUGGAUUUGGAGGAUGAAGGCUCUCAAAGUGAAUCAAAGGAUCCAUGACAGCUUCCCAGAGCGCACAGAGAAGUCUAACCAGGACCUCAAUUAAUUCAUAAGGAUCUUACUGUGUUGUCCAGGCUAGAGUGCAGUGGCGUGAUCACAGCUCAGUGCAACCUC
Molecule: long non-coding RNA, 487 nt
Organism: Macaca mulatta (Rhesus monkey)
Lineage: Eukaryota; Metazoa; Chordata; Mammalia; Primates; Cercopithecidae
Source: RefSeq, a predicted model, not a curated record